Molecule: ribosomal RNA, 511 nt
Filed under: uncultured archaeon
Lineage: Archaea
Description: bacterial SSU rRNA
Rfam family: Archaeal small subunit ribosomal RNA
Source: RNAcentral
CCGGUUGAUCCUGCCGGACCUGACUGCUAUCAGAUUGAUACUAAGCCAUGUUAGUCAUUGUAGUAAUACAAGGCAGACGGCUCAGUAACACGUAGUCAACCUAACUUAUGGACGGGGAUAACCUCGGGAAACUGAGAAUAAUACCCGAUAGGUCAUGAUGCCUGGAAUGGUUUAUGACUCAAAUGAAUGUCGCCGUAGGAUGGGACUGCGAGCUAUCAGCUUGUUGGUGAGGUAAUGGCCCACCAAGGCUAUAACAGCUACGGGCUCUGAGAGGAGUAGCCCGGAGAUGGGUACUGAGACAAGGACCCAGGCCCUAUGGGGCGCAGCAGGCGAGAAAACUUUGCAAUGCGCGAAAGCUCGACAAGGUUAAUCUGAGUGGUUCCUGCUAAAGGAACCUUUUGUUAGUCGUAGAACCACUAAUGAAUAAGGGGUGGGCAAGUUCUGGUGUCAGCCGCCGCGGUAAAACCAGCACCUCAAGUGGUCAGGAUGAUUAUUGGGCCUAAAGCAUCCG